GAAUCAACGCUGGCGGCGUGCCUCAGACAUGCAAGUCGAACGAUUAAAGCUCUCUUCGGAGAGUGUAUAGAGUGGCGCACGGGUGAGUAACACGUAAGUAAUCUACCUUUGAGUGGGGAAUAACAUCGGGAAACCGNUGCUAAUACCCGCAUAAUGCAGCGGCAUCGCAAGAUGACAGUUGUUAAAGNUUUAUCGCUUGAAGNGGAGCUUGCGGCAGAUUAGCUAGUUGGUAAGGUAAUGGCUUACCAAGGCUACGAUCUGUAACCGGUCUAAGAGGACGGUCGGUCACACUGACACUGAAUAACGGGUC
This 310-nucleotide ribosomal RNA is filed under the name uncultured bacterium. Its description in RNAcentral is "bacterial SSU rRNA". It matches the Rfam family "Bacterial small subunit ribosomal RNA", at positions 27 to 332 of the family's 1533-position model. The record is from RNAcentral.